Molecule: long non-coding RNA, 1246 nt
Organism: Callithrix jacchus (white-tufted-ear marmoset)
Lineage: Eukaryota; Metazoa; Chordata; Mammalia; Primates; Cebidae
Source: RefSeq, a predicted model, not a curated record
CCCCACCCAGGUUCGAAGGGCCAAUCGGGGCCUCGCUGUUUUUACGCUGACGUCACGAGUGACAAUGCCCUUUGGCUCUGACCAUUCUAACAGGCUUCAGGAGUCCGGAUUUCCAAAGAGGAACGCAGAUUCAGCGAGUGGCUGCUGGCAUGUGACCUAUUUCGAUGUCAGGGCUUGGCACGUAGGCGGUUCAAUGUUGAACGAUCCAAGGUCAUGCACAUAGGGUCUCAUAGGGAAGAGAACUUCCCGCCCCUCAUGGAGCUUCUAUUUUAGAGGGAGUAUGGGAAGGGAAAAGUGAGACUUCACCAGGAAUCCAUGGAAUGUGGCCCAAAGGCCAAGGACAGAGCACCUUCCAGGACUCUCAGAGGGCAGCAGGUGCCUAGGGCUGGUUUCUACCUAUGACAGAAACCCACAGCACUGAGGAAGAAAAUCAAUCCACAUGCCUGUAUUUAAGCUUAAAUUUAUUCAAGCACUUUAGGAGGCCAAGGUGGGAGGAUCACUUGAGGCCAGGAGUUCAAGACCAGCCCGGGCAACAUGGCCAAACCCCACCUCUACAAAACAAUACAAAAAUUGGCUAGGCAAGAUGUCUCACUACUCUACUGGCCCUGUAGUUCCAGCGACUAUCAGGAGGCCGAGGUGGGAAGAUUACUUGCAUCCAGGAGGUCAAGGCUGCAGUGAGCUAUAACUGCACCACUGCUCUCGGCAUGGGCUACAGGGAAAGACUGUGUCUCAAAAAUAAAUAAAUAAAUCAGCAACUGAAUAUUUCAAAGCUGUCAAUGUGUAUUGGUUCAACCAAUAGCCACUGCCUGAUCCUUACAAUUAAAUUUUAUAACUAGCAACAACAAAAAAAGUUAAUAGACUCAAGAGGCAUAUAAGAAUCUUCUCAUGACUGGAUUUUUUCCCCCUUUGAUCAGCGAGGGACAUAAACUGAAAACUAUGGCUUGGUAUAUGUUUUUUUAAAUUACUACAUUAGAAACAGCUAUACUGGCUGGGCACGGUGGCUCACACCUAUAAUCCCAGCACUUUGGGAGGCUGAGGUGGGUGGAUCACGAGGUCAAGAGAUCGAGACCAUCUUGGUCAACAAGAUGAAACCCUGUCUCUACUAAAAAUACAAAAAUUAUUUGGGCAUGGUGGUGCGCGCCUGUAGUCCCAGCUACUCGGGAGGCUGAGGCAGGAGACUUGCUUGAACCCAGGAGGCGGAGGUUGCGGUGAGCCGAGAUCGUGCCAUUGCACUCCAGUCUGGGUA